AACGCGAAGAACCUUACCUGGGCUCGAAAUGUACAGGAAUCCGGUGGAAACAUCGGCGCCCAGCAAUGGGCCUGUAUAUAGGUGCUGCAUGGCUGUCGUCAGCUCGUGUCGUGAGAUGUUGGGUUAAGUCCCGCAACGAGCGCAACCCUUACCUCCAGUUGCUACCAUUUAGUUGAGCACUCUGGCGGAACCGCCUCGGAUAACGGGGAGGAAGGUGGGGAUGACGUCAAGUCCUCAUGGCCUUUAUGUCCAGGGCCACACACGUGCUACAAUGGGCGGUACAAAGCGCUGCCAACCCGCGAGGGGGAGCUAAUCGCCAAAAACCGUCCUCAGUUCGGAUUGCAGGCUGCAACUCGCCUGCAUGAAGCUGGAAUCGCUAGUAAUGCUAUAUCAGAACGAUAGCGUGAAUACGUUCCCGGGCCUUGUACACACCGGAGUA
Molecule: ribosomal RNA, 439 nt
Filed under: uncultured bacterium
Lineage: Bacteria
Description: bacterial SSU rRNA
Rfam family: Bacterial small subunit ribosomal RNA
Source: RNAcentral